AGCUCCCCCUCUAGUGUUCACUGCUCAUCAAAUGAUUCCUCCAACAAAUAGAGAGCUGCUCGGUUUUUGGUUCCCCAUAGAAGGACAUAGCUCGGAGCGACAUUUCUAAGUGUUUGAUGGCACAAAGAGGAAAAGCGGUGUCUCCGAGGGACCUGCAUUGUGCCAUGAAUGAACUGACCAUCUCUCAAACUGGCUAAUCGCCACCCCUGUGGAGAAACUAAGGCUUCAAAAAAAGUCAAAAACAAAGUUAAAACAAUGAUGGAGUAGCCAGCUCUCUUGGGAGACCUCUGAUUGUGUCUCUGGUCAAAACCAACCUCCCUCAUUUCUGAAAUUCUGGCUUUUCUGUGAAGAUCAGCCUCUUCCUAAGCUGCAUCAACUUCAAAUAUUCUGCUGGCAGUGUCUGCACAAGAGGCUGCUAGGCUUCAGUCUGCCACAGGCCCUGGGAUUCUGCAGGGUCCAGAAUCCUAUGGUGUAUGUCUAUUCAUUUCAAAUAGUUUUCAAAAAUAGAAAAAUGUGAGAGGAUGAAUGCUUAAUAUUAAAUGAAAGGGAUCUUGUGCUACAAAGCACACACUCUGCCUCUGUUGUAUAGAAUCAUAAUUUUGAGGUUGAAAUUUAUAUUCUUAAUGUAAUUUCAAAGUGGAACACAGCUUUUAAAGCGGUGAAACAAUAAAGGUGGCCAUGCAUAGCUUACAGUUAUCGCUGUGCUGAUAACGCCUGCACCGAAGGUGUCAGAGUUCUCCACGCACAGGGUGCUUUUAAAACCAGUCAGGAUACCAAGAGAAGUACUAAAACACUUGAACCAUACUCUGAGAAAAUAAGGAGCGAGCGAGAGAAAUACCUGCGAGUUUUGCAUCAACACUUCUAAUAUUGAGACUUAAAUUCUCAUUCUGUUUCUGCCUGGGUUCUCCAGGCACUCUAUAACGUUAAUUAUAUCUUGCAACUCCAGGAUAUCGUUAAGAAUAUGUGACAUCCUCAUUUAUAUUAUUUUCAGUUUGCAUUUAUUCUUAUAUAUCUUUAGGGCUUGAAUAAUAAAAGGUAAAAAUCAAAAAGUCAAACUACAGUCUUUUUAUGAAUCACAAUGACGAACAUGGAAUAUGUACCUCAUAGUAGCCUGUACCCAUUGAAUAAGAUUUGGUGCUUAUAACCACAGUCACUGAACAGACAGAAGGCGAUUAAUGGAUUCCCAGUUUCAAAAGAAGCAUCUUUAGUUAGAAAAUGCGAAUGAAAAUUGCAGUAACCAGUUCUCCAGCACAAUGUUUUUCUUACAAGUGAUAGGUAGUUUAGGGAGUCAAUCACAUCAACUUUCUCAUUCUUACCUGGAUAAUAUUUUCCCUGCAUUAAUUUCCAAUUUAGCUUAUUAAGUAUAUGACAAAUCUGAAU
Molecule: long non-coding RNA, 1380 nt
Filed under: Equus caballus (horse)
Lineage: Eukaryota; Metazoa; Chordata; Mammalia; Perissodactyla; Equidae
Description: lncRNA (ENSECAG00000051328.1)
Source: RNAcentral